CCCCACUAUGCCCAGCCGUAAACUCUUAUUUACACCCAAAUCGCCAGGGAACUACGAGCGAAGCUUAAAACCCAAAGGACUUGACGGUACCCCACAUCCACCUAGAGGAGCCUGUCCUAUAAUCGAUAACCCACGUUCAACCUCACCAUUUUUAGCCUAUCAGCCUGUAUACCUCCGUCCUCAGCUUACCUCGUGAGUGAAACCUAGUAAGCUUAAUGCCCCUACGCCAACACGUCAGGUCAAGGUGCAGCAAAUGAAAUGGGAAGAGAUGGGCUACACUCUCUAACUUAGAAAAUACGAAAGACUACCUAUGAAACCUAGUCAGAAGGCGGAUUUAGAAGUAAAAAGAAAAUAGCAUGCUCUUUUUAACCUGGCACUGGGGUGUGUACACACCGCCCG
This 399-nucleotide ribosomal RNA is filed under the name Proceratophrys moratoi. RNAcentral's name for it is "partial 12S ribosomal RNA". It matches the Rfam family "Bacterial small subunit ribosomal RNA", at positions 785 to 1396 of the family's 1533-position model. Lineage: Eukaryota; Metazoa; Chordata; Amphibia; Anura; Alsodidae. The record is from RNAcentral.